This is a non-coding RNA of Phascolarctos cinereus (koala), 911 nucleotides long. The record is from RefSeq and is a predicted model, not a curated record. NCBI's taxonomy places the organism in Eukaryota, Metazoa, Chordata, Mammalia, Diprotodontia, Phascolarctidae.
CUGCCCCGACCCCUUCGCACAUAUUUGAGUCUUUGGGAGUAAGAGACCAGUACAUUCGAGUCUCUGGGAGCAACAGGGCAAAGGUGAAAAGAUAAACAGCAUUUUCUCUUACUAUGGACCAUGCAGGCAACCAAAGGUUAGAAGACCAGGAAACAGAAUAAAUUGUUCUUCAUAGCCAUCAUCACUACGAAAGCCUUGUAUUCUGGUGAGAGCCAGAGGGAGAUUGGAAGGCCUGAAACUUGAAUUCUAGUCCUGGCUUUAUCACAGAAUAGAUUAAAUAAUGCACAGAAUGAUGUAGCAAGAGAAUUGGAUUUUGAGUCAGAAGACUUGGAUUCAUAUCCUGGCUCUUUCACUUACAUGGGUGUGACUAUAGAAAAUUCCCUUCACUCUUUGUCCAUUUUUUCAUCUAUAAAAUGAGGAUAAUAACACUUGUAUUGCUUACCUCACAGGUGAUCUACAGUUUUGAAGCAUGGAUUCUAACCAACCACUACUCAACUGAAACCACACUCUCCAAGGAUCAAGUCCCCAGGCAUCUUAGAUCAUACACACAUGUAUUGUAUUACAGUAACUCUACAAAGGCAACCCAAUGGCACCUCAAAAUCAACUUCAGAACAUGUGAACCUAAAUUCAUCUCCCAUCAACCAAACAUCAAUUUAUAUUAAGAAUCUCUACCUCAGGUCUUGAUCUUUAAGAUGAGGAUAGUAAAAUAUUAAUGAUCUAAAUCAAAGGCCUAAUUAAAGAUUCAAAAAAAGAUAAUAGUUGUAAAGCAUUUUAAAAUGUGUAAGUUUCUCCAUUGGAUCAGGAACUACACUCUAUGAACAUCAUACUUUAAUUAGCAUCUCAUUAUUUUGUAUUCUUGUCUAAUUCCCCUUAGUAGUGUGCUUAAGAAGAGUUCCCAUUAUGGGGCAGCU